CAUAUCAAUAAGCGGAGGAAAAGAAACCAACAGGGAUUGCCCUAGUAACGGCGAGUGAAGCGGCAACAGCUCAAAUUUGAAAUCUGGCCCUCGGGUCCGAGUUGUAAUUUGUAGAGGAUGCUUUUGGUGAGGUGCCUUCCGAGUUCCCUGGAACGGGACGCCAUAGAGGGUGAGAGCCCCGUCUGGUUGGACACCGAGCCUCUGUAAAGCUCCUUCGACGAGUCGAGUAGUUUGGGAAUGCUGCUCUAAAUGGGAGGUAUAUGUCUUCUAAAGCUAAAUAUAGGCCAGAGACCGAUAGCGCACAAGUAGAGUGAUCGAAAGAUGAAAAGCACUUUGAAAAGAGAGUUAAAAAGCACGUGAAAUUGUUGAAAGGGAAGCGCUUAUGACCAGACUUGGACUUGGUUGAUCAUCCGGCGUUCUCGCCGGUGCACUCUUCCGGUUCAGGCCAGCAUCAGUUUGCUUCGGGGGAUAAAGGCUUUGGGAAUGUGGCUCCCUCGGGAGUGUUAUAGCCCAUUGUGUAAUACCCUGGAGCGGACUGAGGUACGCGUUCUGCAAGGAUGCUGGCGUAAUGGUCAUCAGUGACCCGUCUUGAAACACGGACCAAGGAGUCGUCUUCGUAUGCGAGUGUUCGGGUGUUAAACCCCUACGCGUAAUGAAAGUGAACGCAGGUGAGAGCUUCGGCGCAUCAUCGACCGAUCCUGAUGUUCUCGGAUGGAUUUGAGUAAGAGCAUACGGGGCCGGACCCGAAAGAAGGUGAACUAUGCCUGUGUAGGGUGAAGCCAGAGGAAACUCUGGUGGAGGCUCGCAGCGGUUCUGACGUGCAAAUCGAUCGUCAAACAUGGGCAUGGGGGCGAAAGACUAAUCGAACCUUCUAGUAGCUGGUUUCCGCCGACUCUCCCCCCUCGA
RNAcentral lists this ribosomal RNA (906 nucleotides) under Volutella delonicis. Its description in RNAcentral is "Volutella sp. RHP-2020a partial large subunit ribosomal RNA". It matches the Rfam family "Eukaryotic large subunit ribosomal RNA", at positions 39 to 978 of the family's 3401-position model. The record is from RNAcentral. Lineage: Eukaryota; Fungi; Ascomycota; Sordariomycetes; Hypocreales; Nectriaceae.